GUCCUUGGCUACACGCCCCACCCCGGCCUCGCUGGGUUCUGUGCUUUCUCGAACCUGGACUGCGGGUCCUACCGUUUUCUGUCUAGCGCGCCAUUCACCAGGUGGUUUCGAAACAGAAACCAAUCGUUUUUGGCAGCAGACACCAGAUGGGCAUCUUCCAAUUCAAUUCUGACACUUACCUGAAGAUAGCAUCAGAUGCUAUAGAUUAAGGAACUCAGGCUUACAGACUGCUUCUCAUUUCAGGCACCAAGUGCAAAGCCAGGCCUCUAGAACUUUUGGCUAGCCAGUUCCAUAGAGCAGGGUACUCAUGACCUCCUCCUUGGUCCAAUUAACCUGCUCAAGCAACUUAUAGAAUUCAGGGAAACACUUAUGUUUACCAGUUUACUGUAAAGGAUAUUGCAAAGGAUCAGGACGAACAGCCUGGAAGAGAUCAACAGCAAGAUACAGGAAGGGGUGUGGAGCUUCUGUGUCCUCUCUGGAGGCAAUGAAUGGAGAAAUCUCCCUAAGGUCAGCAUUCUAAUUAAUUGCCUCACUGUGGCUGCUAUAG
Molecule: long non-coding RNA, 547 nt
Filed under: Heterocephalus glaber (naked mole-rat)
Lineage: Eukaryota; Metazoa; Chordata; Mammalia; Rodentia; Bathyergidae
Description: lncRNA (ENSHGLG00100045498.1)
Source: RNAcentral